CAUCUUUCUUGGUGGAUCGAGCCCCUCUCAGCUUUUCUCUUUGACCUAUUCAUUGGAGGGGGUUGCGGAUCAUCUCCAGUUGAGGUGGAUCGCGCGGAUCGAUUGAGAGGAAGCAGAGGAUCAAUGUGCUGUGGAAUUGCCCUGUUGCUGGUCAUUAUAAACUUCCCUUCAUGAAGCUGUGAAGGUCUUGGGUGAGAAGGAAUGGAAGGAGUUGUGGUGUGGAUGGCAUUGGCUAUUAACA
This is a long non-coding RNA of Zingiber officinale, 241 nucleotides long. RefSeq lists it as uncharacterized. Lineage: Eukaryota; Viridiplantae; Streptophyta; Magnoliopsida; Zingiberales; Zingiberaceae. The transcript is spliced from 3 exons. The record is from RefSeq and is a predicted model, not a curated record.